ACCCCACCCGACCAGGCAGGCCGGCCAGGCAUUCUGGCUCCCGUGUGGGCACCGCCUCAGGCCGCAGCAAAGGCCAGCAAUGGAGAGCAGUCAGCGCCGGGUUACAGGGCUGGCCACGGCUGUGCUGUGUGGAGCCAGGUCCCCCCAAGACCCUCUCUGAGCCAGCUUGUGCAGAAUGGAGCUGGGCGAUGAAGGGGAGGGGGCCGCCCUGCAGAGGGUGUUGGCGUGGUCGUUUGGAGACAGGGUCUCCGGGAGCCCAGGCUCAGCUCACACUCAUUCUGUAGCUGACCCCUGACACCCCGGACUCUCCCCAGGGCUGGGACGGCAAGCAAGCGUGUGUGCUUCACCCUGGCGAGGGGUGCCAGGGCGGGAGCCAGCACACUGAACUUCAACCUCAGGCCUGCCAGGAAGGCACUGUACCCACGGAGCCCGACCCAGCCCUACCGGCUUUGGGAUCAAGAUAUUUCCGGCCCGAAAUAAGCCUGGAUCAGGUGCCCAAGACCUCAGCUUGCGAUCCUGUGGCCACAGACAUGAGUUGGCAAGGCAGGCAGGACACAGCCUCAGUUUCCCCAUACAUGAAACGAGGCUCACAUAGCUCCAGGCCACAGCCGUCUUAGGCGCUCGAAUGCACACAUGCACCCCGGAAGACACAAAGGCAAAGCCGCGGACGGUUUCUAUUUCUCCGUCCAUGUGCCCGGCCCGCGCAGAAUCAAAAGUAGGGCUGAUGUCAUCCGAGCCCGGGUCCAGCGUGGCCCACGCAAGCCGGCGCCACCGUCACGGGCGUUCUCGGCCAGGGAAUCCCGGCCCGGGUGGAAACCCGUGACGCCCGCCCGCGCAGGUCUGCGGGCUCCAGGCGCGGAGGGCGUGGCCAGGGGCGUGGCCGGGGCCGGGGGCGUGGCCUCGCCCUCUAACUGCUGCAAAGCCAGCGUCCUGGUGCCCUGGUGCCCGCGUGCCCCGGGGGAGUGCAAGCACCCGUGAGUUUGUGACAUCCCCGAAACUCACGCGGGCAGUGAUCCCGCGCGGGAUGCAUUGUGGGGUCUGUGCAGCCGCAGGCUUGCGGUGAGUGAGGGACAAGUGGACACUCAGCCACCCCCCAGGCAGUACCACUACACAAGCUGAGCCCGGUGCCCGCCUGUCGCACCAGCGCAUGGGUGAUAGAGGCAGGAGGGUUGGAAGUUCAAGGUCAUCCUAGACUGUACAGUGAGUCUGAGGCCAGCCUGGGCUACGUGAGACCCUUCCAAGCCCUAGCCUAAUUCAAGAUCUGAGGGGGCAGGAAUGGAGAGGAGGUCCCCCAAAGUAUCCCCUCCCCUGACUGGACACGCGCACACACCCUGCAGGUGCCCCGAGCCUGUGGGCGUGGGGCCGCCACGAUGACUGGCGGCCGUUCACUGUCUCCUCACUCACUCGUCUGGGAUCUAAUUACCGUCAGGGUGAGACGGCCUGGCUGGAAAGAUGAGCACAUCCCAGGGUGUCUGCAGCCUGUCUGGGUCUCCCCGGCCCUUCACAGUCAGUUCCCCUGGCAGGAAAGGAGAGCCCAGGCGGGGUCCGGGCUGACCUUGCUGUGGUCACUUGGAGGGGGGACCCUUUCGUUUCUAUGUGGGUCCUGGGAGGUGGGGAUGGCUGAGUGACCUGGGCUCCUUCUAUCCAUGGUGUGCAGGUCCCCAGCAGACAGAUGGAAGGAGCAGCCAGUUACCAGGAGAAGGAGAAAGCCAGAAGUAGCUCCUGAAAGUUAACCCUCUGCCAUCCACACCCAUGCAGUGGCACCUCUGCAUUCCUCGCAAAAUAAGUGAAAUUUAAAACACUUUUAAAGUAAAAGGAGAAGGAAAGAAAAGAUGAUUCUGGGUGUGAGGAGGGAGGCCCCAGCCCCAUCCUCUCUUCCCCACUCCGGAUCUCAGCCUCCCCCAGGGCCUCACCACUGUCCUCCCAGCAGGGCCCCUACCAGAUGCCCCUCCCUGCCCGCAGGACAGGGAGAUCCUUCCCUCUUGGGGCCUCAGUUUCCCCACUGUGAAAUGAGAAGAGGCUUCUGAUGGUGCCUGGAUGUCAGUUUCCCAAGACAUGGACCCCAUCCGACUUUGACAACCAGACCUCCUCACGCCGAUGCUGGCUGUUCUCUUCUGGAAUGUUCUGCAAGCAAAGGAAAUCUCGAAUCAUGAAAAUACUUAAAUACUCGCAGGGAGUGUGAGACUAAUCACACCCUAAAUGUCCCUCCAGACCCAGGCCGGGGGCCCAGUGGCCUUGGAGAAAAGACCAGGGGAGGCGGAACUCAGGACAGUGAGAGAUGGAGCAGAGGAGGAGACCCUUGGGUGCACCUGGCUCUGGUUUCUGCCAGCGGGGAGUUGAAGUGUAGGUAGGUGCUUACGUGCUCAGACUGUUCGUUCCAAGGCUUUUUUUUUUUUUUUUUGAUGUACAAGUGCCGGUGCAUAAUUACGGCACAUUACAAACUGAAAUGUCUGUGUAUUCUUGUACCGGUUCAUUAAACAAAUAUUUACCGAGUG
Molecule: non-coding RNA, 2495 nt
Organism: Peromyscus maniculatus bairdii (prairie deer mouse)
Lineage: Eukaryota; Metazoa; Chordata; Mammalia; Rodentia; Cricetidae
Source: RefSeq, a predicted model, not a curated record